Bradysia coprophila is the source of this 292-nucleotide long non-coding RNA. NCBI's taxonomy places the organism in Eukaryota, Metazoa, Arthropoda, Insecta, Diptera, Sciaridae. The record is from RefSeq and is a predicted model, not a curated record.
CUGUCCUUCCAAAAUUUAGGAACCAACCUUGGAACAUCUCACUCAUGUCGAAAAUAACCCAAAUCCAUCAAAAAAUCCGAUGAAAGUUAGGAAGUGCCAGAGGAAUCAUCUGUCAUACAAAAAUUUAGGAACCAACCUUGGAACACCUCACUCAUGUCGAAAAUAACCCAAAUCCAUCAAAAAAUCUUAUAGAAAUGGAAGUUGGGAAGUACCAGAGGAAUUAUCUGCCAUCCCAAAAUUUAGGAACCAACCUUAAAACACCCCACUCAUGUCGAAAAUAACCGAAAUCCAU